This 450-nucleotide ribosomal RNA is filed under the name uncultured bacterium. RNAcentral's name for it is "partial 16S ribosomal RNA". It matches the Rfam family "Bacterial small subunit ribosomal RNA", at positions 354 to 796 of the family's 1533-position model. The record is from RNAcentral.
GUGGGGAAUUUUGGACAAUGGGCGCAAGCCUGAUCCAGCAAUGCCGCGUGCAGGAAGAAGGCCUUCGGGUUGUAAACUGCUUUUGUACGGAACGAAAAGGCUCUGGUUAAUACCUGGGGCUCAUGACGGUACCGUAAGAAUAAGCACCGGCUAACUACGUGCCAGCAGCCGCGGUAAUACGUAGGGUGCAAGCGUUAAUCGGAAUUACUGGGCGUAAAGCGUGCGCAGGCGGUUUUGUAAGACAGAGGUGAAAUCCCCGGGCUCAACCUGGGAACUGCAUCUGUGACUGCAUUGCUGGAGUGCGGCAGAGGGGGAUGGAAUUCCGCGUGUAGCAGUGAAAUGCGUAGAUAUGCGGAGGAACACCGAUGGCGAAGGCAAUCCCCUGGGCCUGCACUGACGCUCAUGCACGAAAGCGUGGGGAGCAAACAGGAUUAGAAACCCUAGUAGUCC